UGUUUGCUCCUGGAGAUACUAUUUCCUACUUUAAGUAUGAGUAUGUGUUUUAAAUAUUUUUUUUUCAGAAGAUAUUUGGUCUAUCACUUCCAUUUGUUUAAAGUAGGAUUAAGAUUUCUUUUUCCAUCUGUCAUCUGGACUAGAGGUCACCCAUCUGUGUGUGUGUGUAUGUGUGUGUGUGUGUUGUGUGUGGCCUACAUAACGAGUUCCUACUUUUGCUCUCAUUUUUUUCAGAAUUCUCUUGAUCAAGAAUAUAUAACUCUGUUAAUCCUGAGGAACAGAUAGAGGUUACCAGGUGGUUAGCUUGAUCUUUGAUGACCUUCCUCUGCAGCCCCACAAUCACCCCCAGACAAAGGUCCUCCUGUGGAGCUAAGAAGGAACCCCGCCCUGGAGGAUGCUUCUGCACAGCAUCUCCAGUAACUCUAAGAAGACUGCCAGGGUCAGCCCUGGAAGGAGUCUGAGGGCCCUUGAGGACCACGAGGCUCAAGAGUGAUUGUCAUAGAGGUUUAACAAAGUGCAAGUGUUCCCCCUCUGUCCCUGUUCUCUUCUUCCCUUGUCUUGACGGUGUCUGGUAAACUUCGCCCCUUCCCUCUCUCUCUGCUAAUAUCGGAGCCUUUGGGAUUCAAAAUGAAGAGAAUGGGUUUGAGCGACAGCAGGUAGAAGGAAGAGAGAAAAGAGGAGGCUUUCAAGAAGGAAAGGAGCAUCCAGAGAUCCAGAGGAUCCAUUUCAAGUAGCAUCAUCUAAAGCAUUAUGAAUAGUCAGAGCCCGAGACCAUGGGGAAGAUUUGUCACGGGUGUGAAUCAGACUCCUUCACAGUUCUUCCAAAAAACAAUUAAUAACAAGAAUUGUUUUAUAACAACUUGGUUUCUUGACUUUUUUCUUUUUAUGUGCUUAAGAUUUAAUUUAGCAAUAUAAACCUGGCUAGCAAAUAGAUGCACCAGAGAAAUGGCCCAGCUACUAUCGCAACUACACUGUCCAUGUAAACGAUGUGCACUUAAAACAUGCCACAUACGUGUGACUCAAUAUAUUGUUGAUUUUAAAAUUCAUCUAAUAAAUUAGCUUCUGUAGUGUGAUCCCAUUUAUUAGCUACAUUCUGAAAGAUUAACAGUGGGAGGCAUUAAAGAACAUGUAUUUUAAAUGUAAUUACAUUAUACAAGCAGGUACAGAUGGCUGGCUAUGCCACUCUUCUUAGAGUUGUACUUGGACCCAAUUGCUCAAUUGGGGACUAAUUUGCCAGUCUGCCAAUCAGGACAUAUAGCUAAUUCUUACCAGCGGAAUGUGAAGAGAACUGAUGUGUCACUUCUGGGGUAGGACUUUUAAGAAAUGGGAUUUGCUUUUUUAAAAUUUUUCUUUUUGUGCUCCCCUUUUCCUUCUGUUAGCUGGUAUAGAGAACCCUAAGGAAACAGAGGUUAUGGGACUACAACUUGGAAGGGGCUCAGGUCCCUAAAUGACAAUGUGGAGGAACAGCCAAUGGCUGAGUAAAAAUACCUUUUCUUUUCUCUUUUUAUUUUUUCUUAGGCUGGUGAUGGAACCCAGGGCCUUAAACAUGCUAGGUAACACUCUACCACUGAGUUACAUCCCAGGCCAGGAAUACCUUCUUAAACAUCACAUGAGCAAGAAACAAAUUUGUUUUGCCAUGUCAUGGAUAAUUGGGGGUUGUUAGAGCAGCUAGCAUUACUCUAACACAAAUAAUACUCACUGACCAGUAAUUACAAUUUUUAUUUUCUUUUUUAUACACUUGUACUUUUUAUAAGAAUAAUAAAAUUAACAUUUGUAGGAUUCCUAGUUCUAGGUAUAACAAGGAAUGUCCUUAUUGGUUUCUAACUUUCAAAACUCAUAUCAUCUACAUAAAGCUGGAGGGAGCUAUAGAGGAAGGAGUAAAAAUAAUGGCAGAUUAAUGAACUGCCUCUUAACAUUUCCUUUCAUAUUAGAACCUGAUAUGAGAAAGGUAUCUAUGCAUUCCUAAGUUAUUACUGCACCAAAAGGACCAAGCAGUGCCAAAGAUUCUUGUCUAUGCCCGUUGUGACCAAUUUUGCUUUUCCUUUAGUUGAAUGGUAUUUUAGGAAUAGUAAUUAUGCAUAACCAUGGGGCAACUGAGGGCAAAGUACUCGUAAGCAUAAGACCAUAAAGAUGAUGUGCCUACAAUAGCUAAACUGUAGAACCAACCUAGAUGCCCUUCAGUAGAUGAAUGGAUUAAAAAAUGUGGCAUAUAUACACAAUGGAAUAUUACUCAGCAAAAGAAGAGAAUAAAAUCAUUGCAUUUGCAGGUAAAUGGAUGCAGUUGGAGAAGAUAAUGCUAAGUGAAGUUACCAAUCCCAAAAACCCAAAUGCUGAAUUUUUCUCUGAUAUAAGGUGAUUGACUUAUAGUCGGGUAGUAAGAGGGAGCAUGGGAGGAAUAGAGAAACUCUAGAUAGGGCAG
Molecule: long non-coding RNA, 2419 nt
Filed under: Marmota monax (woodchuck)
Lineage: Eukaryota; Metazoa; Chordata; Mammalia; Rodentia; Sciuridae
Source: RNAcentral